AAACAAAGAAAGAACUUCCAGGCCCACUAAUAAGCUUACUAGAGUUCAUCCUAAAUCUGGCAAGAGCAGCCUUUCAACACCUCAGGCCAGGGCUUCCUUCCUUUAGCUCAGAACAAGCACACAGUCUUAGGAGGCCUCAGUAGGCCAACUCCUUUCAAUUCUCCCCUAUGGAUUGAGGCCCUCCAGGGACCCAGGGUCCUGUCCAUUUGCUGGAUCAGAAAGAAGGCCUAAGUCAUCCUAAACUCAGGCUUCUUAUCCAAAAGUCGUUUACUUUGUUUGUUGAUCUCUGGAGAAUCCAGUUUGAACUAGUAUAUGCAUAUGUCUCCACAGGAAUUCAAAGGCUGAUCAUAGAAGUUCAUCUGGCUCACUCUGUGGAACUGUGUAGGGCUGGAAGUGGCCAUGACCUCGCCUCCUCCCUACAAGGAGGUACGAUUUGCACCCACAGGGGCAUGCAGAUUCCAGGAGCUGUGACUGAUCCUUUUACGGUCACAAAACUACAAUUGUACAUCUAAAGUGAUUUCCAGGAUUCGCAGGACAGAAUGGACAAAUCUGGAGUACGUGGCUAGACUACAUAAGCAACAAGGAAGAUAUACCAGAUCAGAUUAACACCACGGAUGAAGCAGAUUGAAGCAGGAUCGGGAUCUCUCACCACACCAGCCAAGGAGGAGAGAGAGCUAUAAAGCACCCUGCUUCCCCAAAUGAGGGAAUUCG
RNAcentral lists this long non-coding RNA (711 nucleotides) under Chrysemys picta bellii (western painted turtle). RNAcentral describes it as "lncRNA (ENSCPBG00000010526.1)". Lineage: Eukaryota; Metazoa; Chordata; Testudines; Emydidae. The record is from RNAcentral.